GAAAAGAAAGUUUUUAACCUCUCGGACAGUUAUCUGGACAGCAAGUCUGGAUGUCUCUGUCUCCUCAUGGCACACUAUUGCCACAUUAUCUUUCUUCACAGAUAUAAAACAACAUUUGUAACCUUCCUGCCUCCUGUUGUCUUCAAAAUGGGCCUUGGAGACCAUCAUGAAUCCAGGGCAGGAAUCCAUUUGGUCUAAUUGAUCUAUGAGUCACUGAACUUCACAUAGACACUGAAAAUACAGAAAACGGAUAUAGAACUCCGUUAACAGAUAAAUUGGGCAAGUAAUAAUGUAGCGCUGUUUUUUCUUUUCUUAUCAUUUAUUCCUGCUGAGUUUCUUG
RNAcentral lists this long non-coding RNA (340 nucleotides) under Numida meleagris (helmeted guineafowl). RNAcentral's name for it is "lncRNA (ENSNMEG00000004756.1)". The record is from RNAcentral. Lineage: Eukaryota; Metazoa; Chordata; Aves; Galliformes; Numididae.